RNAcentral lists this ribosomal RNA (739 nucleotides) under uncultured bacterium. Its description in RNAcentral is "bacterial SSU rRNA". It matches the Rfam family "Bacterial small subunit ribosomal RNA", at positions 8 to 796 of the family's 1533-position model. The record is from RNAcentral.
AGAGUUUGAUCCUGGCUCAGAACGAACGCUGGCGGCAGUAACACAUGCAAGUCGAACGCAUCCUUCGGGGUGAGUGGCAGACGGGUGAGUAACGCGUGGGAACGUGCCCUUCAGUUCGGAAUAACCCAGGGAAACUUGGGCUAAUACCGGAUACGUGCGAGAGCAGAAAGAUUUAUCGCUGAAGGAUCGGCCCGCGUCUGAUUAGCUAGUUGGUGAGGUAAUGGCUCACCAAGGCGACGAUCAGUAGCUGGUCUGAGAGGAUGAUCAGCCACAUUGGGACUGAGACACGGCCCAAACUCCUACGGGAGGCAGCAGUGGGGAAUAUUGGACAAUGGGCGCAAGCCUGAUCCAGCCAUGCCGCGUGAGUGAUGAAGGCCUUAGGGUUGUAAAGCUCUUUCGUCCGGGACGAUAAUGACGGUACCGGAAGAAGAAGCCCCGGCUAACUUCGUGCCAGCAGCCGCGGUAAUACGAAGGGGGCUAGCGUUGUUCGGAAUCACUGGGCGUAAAGGGCGCGUAGGCGGCUUGAUAAGUCGGGGGUGAAAGCCUGUGGCUCAACCACAGAAUUGCCUUCGAUACUGUCUGGCUUGAGACCGGAAGAGGUAAGUGGAACUGCGAGUGUAGAGGUGAAAUUCGUAGAUAUUCGCAAGAACACCAGUGGCGAAGGCGGCUUACUGGUCCGGUUCUGACGCUGAGGCGCGAAAGCGUGGGGAGCAAACAGGAUUAGAUACCCUAGUAGUCC